Molecule: ribosomal RNA, 429 nt
Filed under: bacterium
Lineage: Bacteria
Description: partial 16S ribosomal RNA
Rfam family: Bacterial small subunit ribosomal RNA
Source: RNAcentral
UGGGGAAUCUUCCGCAAUGGACGAAAGUCUGACGGAGCAACGCCGCGUGAGUGAUGACGGCCUUCGGGUUGUAAAGCUCUGUUAAUCGGGACGAAUGGUUCUUGUGCGAAUAGUGCGAGGAUUUGACGGUACCGGAAUAGAAAGCCACGGCUAACUACGUGCCAGCAGCCGCGGUAAUACGUAGGUGGCAAGCGUUGUCCGGAAUUAUUGGGCGUAAAGCGCGCGCAGGCGGAUUGGUCAGUCUGUCUUAAAAGUUCGGGGCUUAACCCCGUGAUGGGAUGGAAACUGCCAAUCUCGAGUAUCGGAGAGGAAAGUGGAAUUCCUAGUGUAGCGGUGAAAUGCGUAGAUAUUAGGAAGAACACCAGUGGCGAAGGCGACUUUCUGGACGAAAACUGACGCUGAGGCGCGAAAGCCAGGGGAGCGAACGGG